UACGUAGGUGACAAGCGUUAUCCGGAAUUACUGGGCGUAAAGCGCACGCAGGCGGCAACUUAAGUCUGACGUAAAAUCUCCUGGCUUAACUGGGAGGGGUCGUUGGAAACUGAGUCGCUUGAGGCAGUGAGAGGGGUGUAGAAUUCCCGGUGUAGUGGUGGAAUGCGUAGAUAUCGGGAGGAAUACCAGAGGCGAAGGCGACACCCUGGCACUGAACUGACGCUCAUGUGCGAAAGCGUGGGGAGCGAACGGG
Molecule: ribosomal RNA, 253 nt
Filed under: uncultured bacterium
Lineage: Bacteria
Description: partial 16S ribosomal RNA
Rfam family: Bacterial small subunit ribosomal RNA
Source: RNAcentral